AAGGUCCCAAGCGUUGUUCGGAAUUACUGGGCGUAAAGCGCGCGUAGGCGGACUAUUAAGUCAGAGGUGAAAUCCCGGGGCUCAACCCCGGAACUGCCUUUGAUACUGGUAGUCUUGAGUUCGAGAGAGGUAAGUGGAAUUCCGAGUGUAGAGGUGAAAUUCGUAGAUAUUCGGAGGAACACCAGUGGCGAAGGCGGCUUACUGGCUCGAUACUGACGCUGAGGUGCGAAAGUGUGGGGAGCAAACAGG
Molecule: ribosomal RNA, 249 nt
Filed under: uncultured archaeon
Lineage: Archaea
Description: partial 16S ribosomal RNA
Rfam family: Bacterial small subunit ribosomal RNA
Source: RNAcentral